UGCCACAGUGUUGGUUUAAGAGGCUA
This 26-nucleotide non-coding RNA is filed under the name Rattus norvegicus (Norway rat). The record is from RNAcentral. Lineage: Eukaryota; Metazoa; Chordata; Mammalia; Rodentia; Muridae.